GACGAACGCUGGCGGCGUGCUUAACACAUGCAAGUCGAACGAUGAACCCGGAGCUUGCUCCGGUGGAUUAGUGGCGAACGGGUGAGUAACACGUGAGUAACCUGCCCUUGACUCUGGGAUAACUUCGGGCAACUGUAGCUAAUACCGGAAACGACCCUCGGCGGCAUCGCCAGGGGGUGGAAAGAAUUUCGGUCAAGGAUGGACUCGCGGCCCAGCAGCUAGUUGGUGGGGUAACGGCACACCAAGGCGACGACGGGUAGCCGGCCUGGGAGGGUGACCGGCCACACUGGGACUGAGACACGGCCCAGACUCCUACGGGAGGCAGCAGUGGGGAAUAUUGCACAAUGGGCGCAAGCCUGAUGCAGCAACGCCGCGUGAGGGAUGACGGCCUUCGGGUUGUAAACCUCUUUUAGUAGGGAAGAAGCGAAAGUGACGGUACCUGCAGAAAAAGCACCGGCUAACUACGUGCCAGCCGCCGCCGUAA
This 484-nucleotide ribosomal RNA is filed under the name uncultured bacterium. RNAcentral's name for it is "partial 16S ribosomal RNA". It matches the Rfam family "Bacterial small subunit ribosomal RNA", at positions 28 to 523 of the family's 1533-position model. The record is from RNAcentral.